AUACGGAGGGUGCAAGCGUUACUCGGAAUCACUGGGCGUAAAGCGCGCGCAGGCGGCCAUUUAAGUUGGAUGUGAAAGCCUACGGCUCAACCGUAGAACUGCAUCCAAAACUAUUUGGCUAGAGUGUGGGAGAGGAAGAUGGAAUUAGUUGUGUAGGGGUAAAAUCCGUAGAGAUAACUAGGAAUACCAAAAGCGAAGGCAAUCUUCUGGAACAUUACUGACGCUGAGGCGCGAAAGCGUGGGGAGCAAACAGGAGUAGAAACCCUAGUAGUCC
Molecule: ribosomal RNA, 274 nt
Filed under: uncultured bacterium
Lineage: Bacteria
Description: partial 16S ribosomal RNA
Rfam family: Bacterial small subunit ribosomal RNA
Source: RNAcentral